GUAGGGAAUAUUGCACAAUGGAGGAAACUCUGAUGCAGCGACGCCGCGUGAGUGAUGAAGGACUUCGGUUCGUAAAGCUCUGUCGUAUGGGAAUAAGAAAGUGAAGGUACCAUGCAAGAAAGGAUCGGCUAACUUCGUGCCAGCAGCCGCGGUAAGACGAGGGAUCCUAGCGUUGUUCGGAAUCAUUGGGCGUAAAGCGGGUGUAGGUGGCUCUGUAAGUCAAGUGUGAAAGCCCCGGGCUUAACCUGGGAAGUGCAUUUGAUACUGCGGAGCUUGAGUGCUGGAGAGGUCAUUAGAAUUCCUGGUGUAGUGGUGAAAUACGUAGAUAUCAGGAGGAAUACCAGAGGCGAAGGCGGAUGGCUGGCCAGACACUGACACUGAGACCCGAAAGCGUGGGGAUCAAACAGGAUUAGAUACCCUAGUAGUCC
This 428-nucleotide ribosomal RNA is filed under the name uncultured bacterium. RNAcentral's name for it is "bacterial SSU rRNA". It matches the Rfam family "Bacterial small subunit ribosomal RNA", at positions 354 to 796 of the family's 1533-position model. The record is from RNAcentral.